This 1152-nucleotide long non-coding RNA is filed under the name Anser brachyrhynchus (Pink-footed goose). Its description in RNAcentral is "lncRNA (ENSABRG00000011784.1)". The record is from RNAcentral. Lineage: Eukaryota; Metazoa; Chordata; Aves; Anseriformes; Anatidae.
AUGAAAAUGCAAUUACACGAGGCUAGGCGUCUUCAAACAAUAAAUAUUCAUAAAUCCGCAAGACAACAGUUAGGUACAACGGAAAACAUCCGCCAACGGCGGCUCCCGGUGCGACUCCGGGCCCAGAAAAAGCAGGCUUUUCCUGGAGGGGGUGCGGAGGCAGGCCGGGACUGCUCGCCAGGGGAGCGCCUGGGGAAGGCUGGGAUGUCAGGAGCGGGGAAGCGUGGGGAGCACACGCCAGCUGGCAGCGGCGGAGGCAGCCCCAGCCUGCCGAGGAGCGCGGCCGGCCAGGGGCUGUCAGGAGGGAGCGCGUUUGGGGAGGCUGAAGCGCGGCAAACUCCGCCGGCCGGCGGGAGGCUCCGGCCGGGGGCACCGCCGCGCAGCCGGCAGCGGGGGCAGCGCCUUCGCACGCACCCAACUUUGAGCAGCCCCGCGAGGGGACGCGGGGCCGAGCCCGCGGGGGGCAGCGGGGGGCAGCGCUCAGGCCCCGGCCCCGCCGCCCCCGGCAGCGCCCGCUCCCCGCGCGGCCCGCCCGACACAAAGGGCAGGCGGCGGCCGCCCGCCCGCCCGCCCGCUCGCUCGCUCGACCCCGGCCCGGCCCGGCCCCGGCCGCCGCCGCGCUGUCAGCCCCGCCGCGGCCCAGCCCCGCGGCCCCGCACGUGGGCGAGCCCCGCCGAAGUUUGCUCGCCGGGGCCGGGCCGCGGAGGCCGGCCGGGAGCCUCCCGCCGCCGCCGCUCCCGGGGCGGGCGGAGCGGAGCGGAGCGGGGCGGCCCGGAGCGCCGAGAGCGCAGGGCUCCGGCUGCCGGCGGCGGGGCCGCCCGCCCUGCCCGCGGGGCGGCAGCAGCGGCGGCGGCGGGAGGCACCCGCGGGGAGGGCGGAGGGCGAGCGGGAGGGGCGGGCCCCGGCGCGGCCGGGCGGCACUCACCCACGCAGGCGGCUCCUCCGCGGGCCACCGCCGCCGCCGGGGCCCCGCGCAGGCCUCACCCCGCACCGGGCACCAACGGCCGCAACAUGGCGGCGGCGGCGGCGGGCGGGGCCGGGGGCGGGGCGGGGCCGGGACGGGGCACGGCGAGACCGCCCCCCCCACCCCCCCUCUCCCGGCCCCGCGCCGCCGCCGGGCCCCGCCGCCGCCGCCGCCCCCGCCCCGCCUGA